Molecule: ribosomal RNA, 468 nt
Filed under: uncultured bacterium
Lineage: Bacteria
Description: partial 16S ribosomal RNA
Rfam family: Bacterial small subunit ribosomal RNA
Source: RNAcentral
GACGAACGCUGGCGGCGUGCUUAACACAUGCAAGUCGAACGGAAAGGCCCUGCUUUUGUGGGGUGCUCGAGUGGCGAACGGGUGAGUAACACGUGAGUAACCUGCCCUUGACUUUGGGAUAACUUCAGGAAACUGGGGCUAAUACCGGAUAGGAGCUCCUGCUGCACGGUGGGGGUUGGAAAGUUUCGGCGGUUGGGGAUGGACUCGCGGCUUAUCAGCUUGUUGGUGGGGUAGUGGCUUACCAAGGCUUUGACGGGUAGCCGGCCUGAGAGGGUGACCGGCCACCUUGGGACUGAGAUACGGCCCAGACUCCUACGGGAGGCAGCAGUGGGGAAUCUUGCACAAUGGGCGGGAGCCUGAUGCAGCAACGCCGCGUGCGGGAUGACCGCCUUCGGGUUGUAAACCGCUUUCGCCUGUAACGAAGAGUGAGUGACGGUAAUGGGUAAAGAAGCACCGGCUAACUACGUG